Molecule: ribosomal RNA, 252 nt
Filed under: uncultured bacterium
Lineage: Bacteria
Description: partial 16S ribosomal RNA
Rfam family: Bacterial small subunit ribosomal RNA
Source: RNAcentral
UACGAAGGGGGCUAGCGUUGCUCGGAAUCACUGGGCGUAAAGGGUGCGUAGGCGGGUUUUUAAGUCAGAGGUGAAAUCCUGGAGCUCAACUCCAGAACUGCCUUUGAUACUGGGAAUCUUGAGUAUGGAAGAGGUGAGUGGAACUGCGAGUGUAGAGGUGAAAUUCGUAGAUAUUCGCAAGAACACCAGUGGCGAAGGCGGCUCACUGGUCCAUAACUGACGCUGAGGCACGAAAGCGUGGGAGCAACAGGG